UCAGGCGAAUAAGGGCUGUUGGGGGAUGCCUAUGGCACCAUAAGGCGAUGAAGGUCGUGGUAAGCUGCGAAAAGCCACGGGGAGUUGCAAACAAACAUUGAUCCGUGGAUUACCGAAUGGGGAAACCCAUAUAGAGUAAUGUCUAUGUAUCAACAUAAGAUAAGGUAUUAUGUUGAGGCUAAACCAGGAGAAUUGAACCAUCUAAGUACCCUGAGGAGAAGAAAUCAAAAGAGAUUCCGAAAGUAGCGGCGAGCGAAAUUGGAAGAGCCCAAACCUAUGUUGCUUGCAAUAUAGGGGUAGUAGGACUCCAAUAAGUAAAUAUUAUUGAUAGUAGAAUAAUCUGGAAAGAUUAACCAAAGAAGGUGAAAGUCCUGUAUAUGAAAUUGAUAAUAUUUAUUAGGAGUAUCCUGAGUACAACCGGACACUUGGAAUCUGGUUGGAAUCUGGGUGGACCACCAUCCAAGGCUAAAUACUAUAUGGUGACCGAUAGUGAAGAAGUACCGUGAGGGAAAGGUGAAAAGAACCCCGAGAGGGGAGUGAAAUAGAACCUGAAACCAACAGUCUACAAGCCGUAGGAACGAAAGUGACUGCGUGCCUUUUGCUUAAUGAUCCGGCGAGUUAUUGUAUGUAGCAAGGUUAAGUGAGAAUAAUCACGAAGCCGAAGGGAAACCGAGUCCGAAUAGGGCGAAUUAAGUUGCAUGCAAUAGACCCGAAGCCUCUUGAUCUAUCUAUGUCCAGGUUGAAGCUUGGGUAAAACCAAGUGGAGGACCGAACUCACUGGUGUUGAAAAACCAGGGGAUGAGGUGUAGAUAGGGGUGAAAGGCCAAACAAAAGUGGCGAUAGCUGGUUCUCUCCGAAAUAGUUUUAGGACUAGCCUUAUAUGUUUAGUUUAGGUGGUAGAGCACUGAUUGGACUAGGGCCCUUCACCGGGUACCAAACCCAGACAAACUCCGAAUGCCUAAACUUUAGAAUAUAGGAGUCAGACAGUGUGCUAUAAGGUUCAUUGUCGAGAGGGAAAUAGCCCAGACCAUCAGCUAAGGUUCCAAAUUAUAUGCUAAGUGGUAAAGGAUGUGAGACGGCAAAGACAGCCAGGAGGUUGGCUUAGAAGCAGCCAUUCCUUUAAAGAGUGCGUAAUAGCUCACUGGUCGAGUUGUUUUGCGCCGAUAAUGUAACGGAGCUAAAGCAUAUAACCGAAGCUAUGGACUUCAUAGAAAUAUGGAGUGGUAGGAGAGCGUUGUGUAAGCCGAUGAAGCAAAACUGAAAAGUUUUGUGGAGGUAUCACAAGUGAAGAUGCCGGAAUGAGUAACGAAAAAACCGAUGAAAAAUCGGUUCGCCGAAAGCUCAAGGUUUCCUGGGUAAAGGUAAUCUGCCCAGGGUUAGUCGGCCCCUAAGGUGAGGCUGAAAAGCGUAACUGAUGGGAAACUGGUAUAUAUUCCAGUACCUGGUAUAAUAACGAUGGAAUGACACAGAAGGUGAGUCUGAACCCGGGUGUUGGUUCUCGGGGGAGAAGACGAGGUGAUGAGAGAGGUAGUCAAAUGCGCCUCUUGAGCUAAGUCUUUGAAGGAGUGAAGCUACGGCGGAACGAAGUUGGAUAAUCAUGCUGUCAAGAAAUAAUUCCUAAGUAUAUAUUAUGCCAGACCGUACUGUAAACCGACACAGGUGAGCGGGAUGAAGAUUCUAAGGCGCUCGGGAUAACUAUCGUUAAGGAACUCGGCAAAUUGCAUCCGUAACUUCGGAAGAAGGAUGGCCUAUCCGGAAGGGUAGGUUGCAGAGAAAUGGCUCAAGCGACUGUUUAUCAAAAACACAGGACUCUGCGAACGCGCAAGCGGAAGUAUAGGGUCUGACACCUGCCCGGUGCUGGAAGGUCAAGAGGAGGGGUUAGCCGUAAGGCGAAGCUCUGAAUUUAAGCCCCAGUAAACGGCGGCCGUAACUAUAACGGUCCUAAGGUAGCGAAAUUCCUUGUCGGGUAAGUUCCGACCUGCACGAAAGGUGUAACGACUUGAGCACUGUCUCAACGAUAGACCCGGUGAAAUUGGAGUAGCGGUGAAGAUACCGCUUAACCAUGACUAGACGGAAAGACCCCAUGAACCUUUACUGUAACCUGAUAUUGAUAUUUGGUAUAGGAUGUGUAGGAUAGGUGGGAGACUGUGAAGCAGGUACGCUAGUAUCUGUGGAGUCGACGUUGAAAUACCACCCUUCUUGUACUAAAUAUCUAACUAUUAGCGUGAAACCGGUAAUAGGACAUUGUCAGGCGGGCGGUUUGACUGGGGCGGUCGCCUCCUAAAGAGUAACGGAGGCGCGCAAAGGUUCCCUCAGCAUGAUUGGAAACCAUGCGUAGAGUGUAAAGGCAUAAGGGAGCUUGACUGUGAGACUGACAAGUCGAGCAGGUACGAAAGUAGGUCUUAGUGAUCCGGCGGUAGCGUGUGGAAGCGCCGUCGCUUAACGGAUAAAAGGUACUCUGGGGAUAACAGGCUGAUCUUGCCCAAGAGUUCAUAUCGACGGCAAGGUUUGGCACCUCGAUGUCGGCUCAUCGCAUCCUGGGGCUGGAGAAGGUCCCAAGGGUUUGGCUGUUCGCCAAUUAAAGCGGUACGUGAGCUGGGUUCAGAACGUCGCGAGACAGUUCGGUCCCUAUCUGUCAUGGUCGUUGGAUAUUUGAGAGGAUCUGCUUCUAGUACGAGAGGACCGAAGUGGACAAACCGCUGGUGUACCAGUUGUCUUGCCAAAGGCAUCGCUGGGUAACUAUGUUUGGAAGGGAUAACCGCUGAAAGCAUCUAAGUGGGAAACCCACCUCAAGAUGAGAUAUCCCUGAGGAUUUAUUCCUCCUAAAGAACCGUUCAAGAUUAGGACGUUGAUAGGCUACAGGUGUAAGCGUAGCAAUAUGUUUAGCCAAGUAGUACUAAUAGUUCGUGAGGCCUGACCAU
Molecule: ribosomal RNA, 2921 nt
Filed under: hot springs metagenome
Description: bacterial LSU rRNA
Rfam family: Bacterial large subunit ribosomal RNA
Source: RNAcentral